UACGUAGGCAGCGAGCGUUGUUCGGAAUUACUGGGCGUAAAGAGUGUGUAGGCGGUGCUCCCAGUCUGUUGUGAAAUCUCCCGGCUUAACUGGGAGGGUGCAGCGGAAACUAGAGUGCUAGAGGGUGGGAGAGGUAAGCGGAAUUCCUGGUGUAGCAGUGAAAUGCGUAGAUAUCAGGAGGAACACCUGUGGUGUAGACAGCUUACUGGACCACUUCUGACGCUGAGACACGAAAGCGUGGGUAGCAAACAGG
RNAcentral lists this ribosomal RNA (253 nucleotides) under uncultured bacterium. RNAcentral describes it as "partial 16S ribosomal RNA". It matches the Rfam family "Bacterial small subunit ribosomal RNA", at positions 524 to 776 of the family's 1533-position model. The record is from RNAcentral.